Silurus meridionalis is the source of this 100-nucleotide long non-coding RNA. RefSeq lists it as uncharacterized. Lineage: Eukaryota; Metazoa; Chordata; Actinopteri; Siluriformes; Siluridae. The transcript has 2 exons. The record is from RefSeq and is a predicted model, not a curated record.
CCAGAUCACACGUGACCACGUUCUCAGAAACCCUCGAGAUAGCAGAUGAUAUGGCGAUUGACAUUCCUUAUGUAUGGCAGUACAUAGCGGAGCUCGUUAA